UCUUUAACCCACUGCACUGGGCUGGUGAUAGAAUCCUCAGCUCUGCAACGACCGGAACUAGUACCGUCGGAUUCUUAACUCGCUGCGCCAUGGUAGAGCCUGGGUGAUUUGCUGAUAUAGUGUAUGAUUCAGAGGAGCCAAGGUCCUUCCAAGGUUUUUGGUCUGAGCAAUUGGAAAGAUGGUGUUCCCACUGAAAUAGUGUCAACUGUGGGAGGAGCAGUUUGACAAGAUGCAUUUAGUGAGCUCAUAGCAAAUGAAGCUACCCCAGACAGAUAAAAACAAAUGAGAUGGAUGGAGGGACAUAGGCAAGAUACAGAAAACAAAUGAACCCAGUAUCUGUAAAAUAUCAAUAAAAUACUUUCCUUUGCCACAA
Molecule: non-coding RNA, 373 nt
Organism: Sus scrofa (pig)
Lineage: Eukaryota; Metazoa; Chordata; Mammalia; Artiodactyla; Suidae
Source: RefSeq, a predicted model, not a curated record